AAGAAGAAACUUAUGGAAAAACUCGUAAGCACCCCCACAACCCCUGCUUCAGACGCCUCCCCAAAGGACCACUGGUAGGGGAGCAGAUACAUCUCUCUAUGAAGAUAAAAAGUGUGAAAAUU
Molecule: non-coding RNA, 122 nt
Organism: Caenorhabditis elegans
Lineage: Eukaryota; Metazoa; Nematoda; Chromadorea; Rhabditida; Rhabditidae
Source: Ensembl